GUGGGAGUGAGCACAAGGACUAAUUAGUGGUGUCACUGGUCUUAGAAAAAAAAAAUCGAUACGCCCUCUAAUAUGGAACAUAUGAAGAAGGUGUUGUAUUUGGCAUUCAAGCAUUGGUUUUCCUUUUGGAUCUUGCUUGAUGAAAAGAGAAAAUUUCAUCGUUAUGGGGAUAGAUCAUUGCAAUUGCUGGUCUUCGGCAAGGAAUGCCUAGUAAGCGCGAGUCAUCAGCUCGCGUUGACUACGUCCCUACCCUUUGUA
Molecule: ribosomal RNA, 258 nt
Filed under: Triticum aestivum (bread wheat)
Lineage: Eukaryota; Viridiplantae; Streptophyta; Magnoliopsida; Poales; Poaceae
Description: rRNA SSU_rRNA_eukarya
Rfam family: Eukaryotic small subunit ribosomal RNA
Source: Rfam by way of RNAcentral